CCUACGGGGGCUGCAGUGGGGAAUAUUGGACAAUGGGCGAAAGCCUGAUCCAGCCAUGCCGCGUGUGUGAAGAAGGCCUUCGGGUUGUAAAGCACUUUCAGUGGGGAAGAAAGCCUUGGGGCUAAUACCCUCGAGGAAGGACAUCACCCACAGAAGAAGCACCGGCUAACUCCGUGCCAGCAGCCGCGGUAAUACGGAGGGUGCGAGCGUUAAUCGGAAUUACUGGGCGUAAAGCGCGCGUAGGCGGUCUGAUAAGCCGGUUGUGAAAGCCCCGGGCUCAACCUGGGAACGGCAUCCGGAACUGUCAGGCUAGAGUGCAGGAGAGGAAGAUAGAAUUCCCGGUGUAGCGGUGAAAUGCGUAGAGAGCGGGAGGAAUACCAGUGGCGAAGGCGGCCUUCUGGACUGACACUGACGCUGAGGUGCGAAAGCGUGGGUAGCAAACAGGAUUAGAUACCCGAGUAGUC
RNAcentral lists this ribosomal RNA (464 nucleotides) under Vreelandella stevensii. Its description in RNAcentral is "partial 16S ribosomal RNA". It matches the Rfam family "Bacterial small subunit ribosomal RNA", at positions 338 to 795 of the family's 1533-position model. The record is from RNAcentral. Lineage: Bacteria; Pseudomonadati; Pseudomonadota; Gammaproteobacteria; Oceanospirillales; Halomonadaceae.